UACAGAGGGUGCAAACGUUGUUCGGAUUUACUGGGCGUAAAGCGCGUGUAGGCGGCUUUGCAAGUCGGAUGUGAAAGCCCACGGCUCAACCGUGGAAGUGCAUCCGAAACUGCAUGGCUUGAGUCUCGGAGAGGAAGGUGGAAUGCUUGGUGUAGAGGUGAAAUUCGUAGAUAUCAAGCAGAACACCUGCGGCGAAGGCGGCCUUCUGGACGAUGACUGACGCUGAGACGCGAAAGCGUGGGGAGCAAACAGG
This 253-nucleotide ribosomal RNA is filed under the name uncultured bacterium. RNAcentral describes it as "partial 16S ribosomal RNA". It matches the Rfam family "Bacterial small subunit ribosomal RNA", at positions 524 to 776 of the family's 1533-position model. The record is from RNAcentral.